AUGCGGACGCCGGUGGCCUACAAGGCGCGGCGGCGGGCGUCGCGGGAGACGCUCGCGCGCGGCAUGAACUUCGCCGUCGGCGGCGCCGGCGUGCUCGACACCGGCAACUUCCAGCGCAACAUCAGCGCCCAGAUCGACCUCUUCCAGGCCAUGCACCACAGCCAGCAGCAGCGGGGCUGCGCCAAGCGGACGGCGCUCGUCGUCGUCUCCGGCAACGACUACGCCUACGCCGCCGACAAGGACAACAACGGCACCAGCGCGGCGAUCGCGUACAUCCCGACGGUGGUGCGGGAGCUCCGGGAGCAGCUGCGGCGGCUACGCGACGAGGCGGGGAUGCGGAGGGUGGUGGUGAUCAACCUGCACCCCAUGGGGUGCACGCCGGUAUUCACCCGCCCGCUCAACUACACCGGCUGCGACCCGCUGGCCAACGCCGGGGCCGCCCAGUACAACGCCGCGCUCCGGUCGGUCCUCGGCGCCCUCGACCCCAACAACCGCACCUUCCUCCUCCUCGACGUCCACACCCCCUUCGCCGCCUUCCUCCUCGACGACAACAAUGGUGACAGUGACAACAAGUUGUUCAAGAGCACGCUGCGGCCGUGCUGCGAGAGCUUCAGGCCCGACGGCUACUGCGGCCAGGAGGACGAGAACGGCACGUGGCAGUACACACUCUGCGACGACCCCGGCCGCUACUUCUACUGGGACGUCGUGCACCCGACGCAGGCCGCCUGGGCCGCCAUGGCGCGCACCUUCAGGGCCGCCGUCAAGAGCUUCCUCUCCAUCUGA
RNAcentral lists this ribosomal RNA (783 nucleotides) under Triticum aestivum (bread wheat). RNAcentral's name for it is "partial small subunit ribosomal RNA". The record is from RNAcentral. Lineage: Eukaryota; Viridiplantae; Streptophyta; Magnoliopsida; Poales; Poaceae.